RNAcentral lists this ribosomal RNA (755 nucleotides) under Bacillus pumilus. RNAcentral describes it as "bacterial SSU rRNA". It matches the Rfam family "Bacterial small subunit ribosomal RNA", at positions 34 to 771 of the family's 1533-position model. Lineage: Bacteria; Bacillati; Bacillota; Bacilli; Caryophanales; Bacillaceae. The record is from RNAcentral.
GGGGAGGGGCUAGUCUAAUACAUGCAAGUCGAGCGGACAGAAGGGAGCUUGCCUCCCGGAUGUUAGCGGCCCCCCCGGUGAGUAACACGUGGGUAACCUGCCUGUAAGACUGGGAUAACUCCGGGAAACCGGAGCUAAUACCGGAUAGUUCCUUGAACCGCAUGGUUCAAGGAUGAAAGACGGUUUCGGCUGUCACUUACAGAUGGACCCGCGGCGCAUUAGCUAGUUGGUGAGGUAACGGCUCACCAAGGCGACGAUGCGUAGCCGACCUGAGAGGGUGAUCGGCCACACUGGGACUGAGACACGGCCCAGACUCCUACGGGAGGCAGCAGUAGGGAAUCUUCCGCAAUGGACGAAAGUCUGACGGAGCAACGCCGCGUGAGUGAUGAAGGUUUUCGGAUCGUAAAGCUCUGUUGUUAGGGAAGAACAAGUGCAAGAGUAACUGCUUGCACCUUGACGGUACCUAACCAGAAAGCCACGGCUAACUACGUGCCAGCAGCCGCGGUAAUACGUAGGUGGCAAGCGUUGUCCGGAAUUAUUGGGCGUAAAGGGCUCGCAGGCGGUUUCUUAAGUCUGAUGUGAAAGCCCCCGGCUCAACCGGGGAGGGUCAUUGGAAACUGGGAAACUUGAGUGCAGAAGAGGAGAGUGGAAUUCCACGUGUAGCGGUGAAAUGCGUAGAGAUGUGGAGGAACACCAGUGGCGAAGGCGACUCUCUGGUCUGUAACUGACGCUGAGGAGCUAAGUGCGCGGAACGC